RNAcentral lists this ribosomal RNA (301 nucleotides) under uncultured bacterium. RNAcentral describes it as "partial 16S ribosomal RNA". It matches the Rfam family "Bacterial small subunit ribosomal RNA", at positions 509 to 807 of the family's 1533-position model. The record is from RNAcentral.
CAGUCGCCGCGGGAACACGGAGGGAGCUAGCGUUGUUCGGAAUUACUGGGCGUAAAGCGCGCGUAGGCGGUUACUCAAGUCAGAGGUGAAAGCCCGGGGCUCAACCCCGGAACUGCCUUUGAAACUAGGUGACUAGAAUCUUGGAGAGGUCAGUGGAAUUCCGAGUGUAGAGGUGAAAUUCGUAGAUAUUCGGAAGAACACCAGUGGCGAAGGCGACUGACUGGACAAGUAUUGACGCUGAGGUGCGAAAGCGUGGGGAGCAAACAGGAUUAGAUACCCGAGUAGUCCCUGUCUCUUAUAC